Long non-coding RNA from Pecten maximus, 835 nucleotides. RefSeq lists it as uncharacterized. The record is from RefSeq and is a predicted model, not a curated record. The transcript is spliced from 3 exons. NCBI's taxonomy places the organism in Eukaryota, Metazoa, Mollusca, Bivalvia, Pectinida, Pectinidae.
GACCUUUGCUGUGAACUCAUAUACAGUUUAGCUUUAGAGACUAACUUCUUGUUGAUAAGGAAGUCGCGUACUACUCAAAGCUAUCUAUCGCCUAGCCUUAUAUCCGAAUCUACCAGCUGUCAGCCAGAUAUAGGUAAAAGAAAGAUGAGGGAUAUGAAGGCCUGCCUGUUUUGUGUCUGUUUGACUCUCUUGUUGGCGACUGCCUUUACAGCUACCACCACUCCCAUGACUGUGACCCCAGACAGUUCAGCCUGUGCCAACCCAAAGGUUUCCGGACCAUGUAAGGGGUUCUUCCCACGGUACUAUUUCGACAAUACAGCAAUGGACUGUUUGGAAUUUAUCUACGGAGGAUGUGACGGAAACGAUAACAAUUUCCUGACUCUGGAAAACUGUGAAAUGAUAUGUAAAAGUUAAAUAUCAAAACCUAUGAAGGUAAUAAAAAAAAAUCAUAAAAUUUAAUGCCUAAAUAUUUCCUUAGUUACUCUGACAUGUGCUUUCAAUAACUUUGAAUGCUUACUUGUUGACACCGAUAUGUGCAUAAUUCCAUUUGCUCUGCAUUUUCACUAUAUAACCAUACCAAGCAAAAUAAAAUUUUAUGAUAUCAUAAUUCCCACAUAAUUGCUGUACACAUAUAUAUGAGAAGUUCGUAACGUCAUCACUAAAUGAUGCCGUUUUGCCAGAUGUUUCGAAAAUUCGUUCAACAGGAUUUAAAAAAACCCGAUUGAUAAAUGUUAUUUGCAAUAAUUUAGGGUAUACCAUGUUAGUUAUGCUCUCUAAAAGGUGACUACAUUGUAUACACACGACGAAAUAUACUGAUUAAGAUGUUGAAAUCAAA